UGUACUUUAAGUUCUCAAGGA
This 21-nucleotide non-coding RNA is filed under the name Caenorhabditis elegans. The record is from RNAcentral. Lineage: Eukaryota; Metazoa; Nematoda; Chromadorea; Rhabditida; Rhabditidae.